CGGUUCGCCGCCCGUCGGUGUCAACUGGCAUGUCCUGUGGAACGUCCUGCCGGUGGCGGACCGGGCUUUCGGCUUGCGUAAGGGCUUACGCCCGAAGCAGGCCGAACAGUACCGGCCGCCGGUCCAAUCCCGCCACGGUGCUCUUCACCGAGUGUCGAGGUGGGCCGGCACGUUUACUUUGAACAAAUUAGAGUGCUUAAAGCAGGCUGGUGUCCGCCUGAAUACUGUGUGCAUGGAAUAAUAGAAUAGGACCUCGGUUCUAUUUUGUUGGUUUUCGGAACCCGAGGUAAUGAUUAAUAGGGACAGGCGGGGGCAUUCGUAUUGCGACGUUAGAGGUGAAAUUCUUGGAUCGUCGCAAGACGAACCUAAGCGAAAGCAUUUGCCAAGUAUGUUCUCGUUAAUCAAGAACGAAAGUUAGAGGUUCGAAGGCGAUCAGAUACCGCCCUAGUUCUAACCAUAAACGAUGCCAGCCAGCGAUCCGCCGAAGUUCCUCCGAUGACUCGGCGGGCAGCUUCCGGGAAACCAAAGCUUUUGGGUUCCGGGGGAAGUAUGGUUGCAAAGCUGAAACUUAAAGGAAUUGACGGAAGGGCACCACCAGGAGUGGAGCCUGCGGCUUAAUUUGACUCAACACGGGAAACCUCACCAGGCCCGGACACCGGAAGGAUUGACAGAUUGAGAGCUCUUUCUUGAUUCGGUGGGUGGUGGUGCA
Molecule: ribosomal RNA, 709 nt
Filed under: Aeneolamia albofasciata
Lineage: Eukaryota; Metazoa; Arthropoda; Insecta; Hemiptera; Cercopidae
Description: SSU rRNA
Rfam family: Eukaryotic small subunit ribosomal RNA
Source: RNAcentral